CCCUCCGACACCCCCAGCGGGCGGGCCACCCGGGCCACCGCCAGCGCAGUCAUCGGAGAGCGCACGCGAGCGGAGGGCGCAACGCCGGCUGGGACCCUAGGGAGGCCAGCCCAGGUUCUCUGGAAACAGGCUCUGGUGGCUGGAGACGACCGUAGCGACCCCCAGCAGCCCCGCCUCUCUCCUGUCACCAGCUGCGGAUCGCGGGGCAACCAGCUCUGGGACGCGCCCAACUUGGGGAGCUUGUCGCUCGCAGGGUGCGCGCUACUCGUCGGGCUGGCACCGGGCGCCCGGGCACACGCAACCCCCGCCCCUGUGCGCCUGCCGUUUGAGUGUCCUCCCGGGCGCCGCACUCUCCCAGGCUGGUGGCGGCAGCUCUCGCACCGGCACUCAGCCGGGAGGACAGAGAGCUCUGGGGAAAGCGACAGAGCAGGCAGGCAAGUUAGGGUUUCGCCCAGCUCUCAGUACUCUGGCGGCGUUCCGUCUUCUGGGUGGGAUGUGCUCGCAAAGACAGUAGCGGCGGCGGCAGCAGCCCGGAAGGCACCGGAGCCUUCCACCCCGCAGCGGGAGAGGAGAAGAUGGACGAGAGGACCGAAGGAAAGAUUGGAGUGAGCCAGCCGGAGGAAGUCCCACGGCCGCGGAACGUCUGUCCUGGAGAAGCCUUCUCCACCCUGGACACUUUAAGCAGUGCUGGCAGUAAAAGGCGAGAGGUUGCGGACUGGACAGCGAGCCUCCGGCGUUCCGGUGUUCCUCUGCCCUCUGGAGAAGACAAGUAAAGAAGUGUCCCGCCGGGGCAUCCACUUCAGCUAUGCAGACAUAGUCAAGAGAGGACUCAAGACACAGACUUCCUGGGUUGAAAUAUCUUCUACUUAUCUAUCAUCUAGUAAUAACCUGAGUCCAGAGUGAAUGCAUGGACUCAAAGUCAAGACGGAAAGAGAAGCUCUGCGACUGGAAUCCAUGAGUUUGCAAUGCAAGGAGAGAACAGCUCUGAGAUGACCUCCAUCAGUGCCCAGCUGCAGGGAAUCAUCUACAACUGCCCGUCUAGGCAGAGUUUGUCUUAUUUGCUUUGUUUCUGUUUUUGUUUUGUUCUUUUACUUGUGCCUCCUUACAGCAACAGUCCUAUCUAACACUACUGUGUGGACCUCAAAGCUGGUCACGUGACCUGUUAGAAAAGUGGUCCUUUCUAGGGUAGAAGUCAUGUCACUGAGGCUGCACCCAUGGAAAUCCUUCCCUAAAAAAUGACUCUCCUUGUAGCUGUGGAGAAGAUUCUAUUUUGCUUGGUGGUCAGAAUGAAAAAAAGGACCACUACAUUUGAGCUUCAAGAAAACAAAGACAUAUGUCUCACAGACACAUAAAAGAAAUGGAACUGAAGACUCAAGUGGCUGUGAAUGUCACAGACCUCAGAGAACCAGCAUGUCCCCUUCUUGUGAGAAGUCCCCAAUAAAAACACCACUGAAACAA
Long non-coding RNA from Mesocricetus auratus (golden hamster), 1458 nucleotides. RefSeq lists it as uncharacterized. The record is from RefSeq and is a predicted model, not a curated record. NCBI's taxonomy places the organism in Eukaryota, Metazoa, Chordata, Mammalia, Rodentia, Cricetidae. The transcript is spliced from 4 exons.